RNAcentral lists this ribosomal RNA (484 nucleotides) under uncultured bacterium. RNAcentral's name for it is "partial 16S ribosomal RNA". It matches the Rfam family "Bacterial small subunit ribosomal RNA", at positions 899 to 1397 of the family's 1533-position model. The record is from RNAcentral.
ACUCAAAGGAAUUGACGGGGGCCCGCACAAGCAGCGGAGCGUGUGGUUUAAUUCGACGCAACGCGAAGAACCUUACCCAGGCUUGACAUGCAGCUGCACACGGCGGAAACGUCGUGGCCUUCGAGGGUGCUGCACAGGUGCUGCAUGGUUGUCGUCAGCUCGUGUCGUGAGAUGUUGGGUUAAGUCCCGCAACGAGCGCAACCCCUGCCGGUAGUUAUACGUGUCUACCGGGACAGCCGCCUUGAUGGGCGGAGGAAGGCGGGGAUGACGUCAAAUCAGCAUGGCCCUUACGCCUGGGGCGACACACACGCUACAAUGGCCAGGACAGUGCGUCGCGAACCCGCAAGGGGGAGCAAAUCGUAAAAACCUGGUCUCAGUGCAGAUCGGGGGCUGCAACUCGCCCCCGUGAAGGCGGAGUUGCUAGUAACCGCGUAUCAGCCAUGGCGCGGUGAAUACGUUCCCGGGCCUUGCACACACCGCCCGU